Long non-coding RNA from Gymnodraco acuticeps, 700 nucleotides. RefSeq lists it as uncharacterized. Lineage: Eukaryota; Metazoa; Chordata; Actinopteri; Perciformes; Bathydraconidae. The transcript is spliced from 3 exons. The record is from RefSeq and is a predicted model, not a curated record.
UAUUUAUAAAAAUACAUACUGUGUAGUGAUCACUUAUUAACACACUGACACAUAAUUCACACAUGGAACUACAGGUUGGGGCUAUUGUUUCAGCACGGACAUAUAUGUGGUUACAUAUAUAUAUUAGGGCUGUCAAGUUAACGCGUUAAUAACGCGUUAACGCAAAACAAAAUUAACGCCACUGUGACCGGACGUCACGUCUCCUCCCUCUGUGACGCUGCUUGGCACCAUGCCAGCGCACCUGUUAAUUUACGCACCUGCUAUUUAAGUGGAGGAGACAAAUCUGCUCCCUCCCCCUCCGCUUCUCCUUUGUGGCCGCGUGGAUUGUUUGGCGUGGCAGCUCGCGCAUCACACUCUCUACCAGACAGCUGACGCCCGGUGCGUUUGAGGAGGAUUGGCUCCUCCGGAGGUUCCCGGUCUUGCAGUGUUGCAACUAUUGGCGAGUUGCCGUUGUCUGCCGUAUUCUCACCUUCAGCUUGGUUCCUCUGGUGUACUGACUGUUAUUCAUGUCACAGUGGGAUUUGGCCGUGGGAUUGUUGGGUCUCUCUCUCCCUUCCCUGUGGGCUCUGUGGCUGCAACUGGCCGCACAGGCUGGGGUGCCAUAAACAUUCUCCCUUCCUGGUGGGCUCUGUGGCAGCGCCUAGCUGUAAAAGUUGGGAUGCCGUAACCACUCUCCCCACCUCUGGUCAUCAUUCCCCAG